AUAUUAUACCGUACCGUAGACAGUAGGAGCACACAAUGCUUAAUAUUUCCUACCGAGGACUUAGAAUAUGUUUUUUUAAGGCCUUACUGUUUACGUAAGGUCUUUUAUU
RNAcentral lists this small RNA (109 nucleotides) under human gut metagenome. RNAcentral describes it as "Ribosomal protein L10 leader". It matches the Rfam family "Ribosomal protein L10 leader". Rfam says of the family: This family is a putative r-protein leader autoregulatory structure found in B. subtilis and other low-GC Gram-positive bacteria. The record is from RNAcentral.